Pan troglodytes (chimpanzee) is the source of this 1093-nucleotide long non-coding RNA. RefSeq lists it as uncharacterized. NCBI's taxonomy places the organism in Eukaryota, Metazoa, Chordata, Mammalia, Primates, Hominidae. The record is from RefSeq and is a predicted model, not a curated record. The transcript has 5 exons.
GUUUCGCAUCCUCAUCAUGUAGCGCCAGCCACACCAGGAACAGAAGGGUGCCGGGUACCUUCCGCAUGCUUGGUAUUCUCCCCGCGGGGCUCUGACCGCUGCCGCUCUCAGGCACCUGUCUUUCCUCUCCGUCCCAGAAUGGAGCCAAGACAAGGGAAUAAACGAAAUUCAAUAGUACACGGAGAUCGGGUGUCUGGGCAGCGUCUUGGAAAAACUAUCCACUACAGUACAGGUCAAGUGAAGUUCUUCUGCUGAUAUGUUCUGCUACUGCAUAAGAGACGGAAUCUAUGUUGCCUCGACUGGUCCUGAACUCCUGGGCUAAAGCGAUCCUUCUGCCUUGGCCUCCCAAAGUGCGAGGAUUAUAGGUGUGAGCCACCCAACCUGGCCUUUGCCAGUAUUUUUAAAUCCAAACACCUAUGCAUGGUGCUUACUAAUAACACAGUGGUAUUCUAAACAUUUUUCACCUAUUAUUUAAUCUUUAUUAUUAUCACUAUGUUACAGAUAAGGACCCCUGGCUAAAUAGCUUACCCAACAUUACUCCGUUAAUAAAUGGUAGAACCUGUAUUUCACUCAAGCAGUCUGGUGUCCAUGCGAUUAACACUAGACUAUGUUGUCUCUCAAAAACUCAUCCUGAUUACCAAGCAAUCAACAACACAGAAGACAACUUCUGCAACCCUAUCGGGAGAGGAGGGGUUCUCUCCACCACCAGUCCCCUGGAAGAAUUCUCAAAACACAGAAUGCUUGCCAAGUCAAUCCUAAGCCAAAAGAACAAAGCUGGAGGCAUCACACUACCUGACUUCAAACUAUACUACAAGGCUGCAGUAACCAAAACAGCAUGGUACUGGUACCAAAACAGAGAUAUAGACCAAUGGAACAGAACAGAGCCCUCAGAAAUAAUGCCACUUAUCUACAACCAUCUGAUCUUUGACAAACCUGACAAAAACAAGAAAUGGGCAAAGGAUUCCCUAUUUAAUAAAUGGUGCUGGGAAAACUGGCUAGCCAUAUGUAGAAAGCUGAAACUGGAUCCCUUCCUUACACCUUAUGCUAAAAUUAAUUCAAGAUGGAUUAAAGACUUAAAUGUUAGACCUAAAAC